CAUUAAUUAAGUGGUGUGUGGUUGUGUUUGGGCAGUCGAGCAAGAAGCAGAACAUACCUACCCCACCAUGCCGAUUCUCGCCAUGGAUGGCAUGGAUUUCUUCUUCGAGGAAUCUAGAGCAGGACUCGUAUCGUGUUUCGGUGCCGGGGUUGUCUUAAGAGAUCUAGUUGCCGGCGCACACCUGGCUGAGGGUAACACGAGUGGAACUGGCGAUGCGGAGGAGGACCUAAUUUCUUCUGUGCAGAUAGGACCAGCUGGAAGCCGCAUGGAUUACGAAGGGGACGAGAAUAUUGGUGAAACAUUAAUUGCGCACUAGGAGGGAGGGAGGGGGUGCGGCUCGUAUGAUCUUGGCGGCGAAGGGAUGAGUGAUUCAUGCGAGAUAGGUGAUUCAAAUAUUGCGUCUGAUGCCGCGGAACAGGAUGCAGACGAGGAGGGCGAGGGAGUAACCAAUGCAAAUCAAUCUUCUUGGACCAGGAGGGUCAAAGUUGGGAAGGCAGCGGAUGAGAGGGAACCGAGCCCUUCAAGGAUGCCUGCCCUUGAAGCUUGUGUCCGUGCAUAUGUCGAUAAAAUAUCAGGAAAUGUUGUCAAUCCAUCGAUUGGGACUAAUUUUGAUUCUGUUGAAGAAGGCUACGAGUUCUACAAUAUGUAUUCCUCGGAGGUUGGUUUUGGUGUCCGCUAUGCCAAAAGCCAUCUGAAUGUACACCGGAAAACAUCCCAAUUGAGGUA
Triticum dicoccoides is the source of this 726-nucleotide long non-coding RNA. RefSeq lists it as uncharacterized. The record is from RefSeq and is a predicted model, not a curated record. The transcript has 3 exons. Lineage: Eukaryota; Viridiplantae; Streptophyta; Magnoliopsida; Poales; Poaceae.